This 73-nucleotide transfer RNA is filed under the name Loxodonta africana (African savanna elephant). It matches the Rfam family "tRNA". Rfam says of the family: Transfer RNA (tRNA) molecules are approximately 80 nucleotides in length. Their secondary structure includes four short double-helical elements and three loops (D, anti-codon, and T loops). The record is from Rfam by way of RNAcentral. Lineage: Eukaryota; Metazoa; Chordata; Mammalia; Proboscidea; Elephantidae.
UCCUGGGUGGUACAUAUGGUUAAUGUGCUUGGCUGCCAACUAAAGGUUGGUGGUUUGAGUCCACCCACAGGUA